This 449-nucleotide ribosomal RNA is filed under the name uncultured bacterium. Its description in RNAcentral is "partial 16S ribosomal RNA". It matches the Rfam family "Bacterial small subunit ribosomal RNA", at positions 29 to 523 of the family's 1533-position model. The record is from RNAcentral.
AACGAACGCUGGCGGCAUGCCUAACACAUGCAAGUCGAACGAGAUCUUCGGGUCUAGUGGCGCACGGGUGCGUAACGCGUGGGAAUCUGCCCUUUGGUUCGGAAUAACAGUUGGAAACGACUGCUAAUACCGGAUGAUGACGAAAGUCCAAAGAUUUAUCGCCAGAGGAUGAGCCCGCGUAGGAUUAGCUAGUUGGUGUGGUAAAGGCGCACCAAGGCGACGAUCCUUGGCUGGUCUGAGAGGAUGAUCAGCCACACUGGGACUGGGACACGGCCCAGACUCCUACGGGAGGCAGGAGUGGGGAAUAUUGGACAAUGGGCGAAAGCCUGAUCCAGCAAUGCCGCGUGAGUGAUGAAGGCCUUAGGGUUGUAAAGCUCUUUUACCCGGGAUGAUAAUGACAGUACCGGGAGAACAAGCUCCGGCUAACUCCGUGCCAGCCGCCGCCGUAA